UGGCGGACGGGUGAGUAACGCGUAAAGAACUUGCCCUUUAGACUGGGAUAACAGAGGGAAACUUCUGAUAAUACUGGAUAAGUUAGUAUAUCGCAUGAUAUGCAAAUGAAAGCUACGGCACUAAAGGAGAGCUUUGCGUCCUAUUAGCUAGUUGGUAAGGUAAGAGCUUACCAAGGCGAUGAUAGGUAGCCGGCCUGAGAGGGUGGACGGCCACAAGGGACUGAGAUACGGCCCUUACUCCUACGGGAGGCAGCAGCC
This 258-nucleotide ribosomal RNA is filed under the name uncultured Leptotrichia sp. Its description in RNAcentral is "partial 16S ribosomal RNA". It matches the Rfam family "Bacterial small subunit ribosomal RNA", at positions 96 to 355 of the family's 1533-position model. The record is from RNAcentral. Lineage: Bacteria; Fusobacteriati; Fusobacteriota; Fusobacteriia; Fusobacteriales; Leptotrichiaceae.